GAUGAACGCUGGCGGCGUGCUUAACACAUGCCAGUCGAACGAAGCACUUUAUUUGAUUUCCUUCGGGACUGAUUAUUUUGUGACUGAGUGGCGGACGGGUGAGUAACGCGUGGGUAACCUGCCUUGUACAGGGGGAUAACAGUUGGAAACGGCUGCUAAUACCGCAUAAGCGCACAGCAUCGCAUGAUGCAGUGUGAAAAACUCCGGUGGUAUAAGAUGGACCCGCGUUGGAUUAGCUAGUUGGUGAGGUAACGGCCCACCAAGGCGACGAUCCAUAGCCGACAUGAGAGGGUGACCGGCCACAUUGGGACUGGGACACGGCCCAAACUCCUACGGGAGGCAGCAGUGGGGAAUAUUGCACAAUGGGCGAAAGCCUGAUGCAGCGACGCCGCGUGAGCGAAGAAGUAUUUCGGUAUGUAAAGCUCUAUCAGCAGGGAAGAUAAUGACGGUACCUGACUAAGAAGCACCGGCUAAAUACGUG
RNAcentral lists this ribosomal RNA (481 nucleotides) under uncultured bacterium. RNAcentral describes it as "partial 16S ribosomal RNA". It matches the Rfam family "Bacterial small subunit ribosomal RNA", at positions 28 to 507 of the family's 1533-position model. The record is from RNAcentral.